GUGGAUGAGGCAUGCAAGUCGAACGGAAUACUAGCAAUAGUAUUUAGUGGCGGAAGGGUUAGUAAUACAUGGGUAACCUGCCUUUAACUUAGGAAUAACGAUUGGAAACGAUCGCUAAUACCGAAUGUGGUGAAAUAAGGCAUCUUGUUUUAAUCAAAGUGGGGGAUCGUAAGACCUCGCGGUUAAAGAGGGGCCCAUGGGAUAUCAGCUAGUUGGAGUGGUAAUGGCACACCAAGGCUAAGACGUCUAGGCGGAUUGAGAGAUUG
RNAcentral lists this ribosomal RNA (266 nucleotides) under uncultured Chlamydiales bacterium. RNAcentral describes it as "partial 16S ribosomal RNA". It matches the Rfam family "Bacterial small subunit ribosomal RNA", at positions 44 to 302 of the family's 1533-position model. Lineage: Bacteria; Pseudomonadati; Chlamydiota; Chlamydiia; Chlamydiales. The record is from RNAcentral.